Molecule: long non-coding RNA, 6093 nt
Filed under: Nicotiana benthamiana
Lineage: Eukaryota; Viridiplantae; Streptophyta; Magnoliopsida; Solanales; Solanaceae
Description: long non-coding RNA (NBEN_LNC014821)
Source: RNAcentral
UACCAUCUCUCUCAGACUGACCCCCUAAGAACCCUAGUUUGAGCCGCCACCAAAUUCCACCAGCGCCAGUGGCGGCGCCGAUGCAAAACCCCACCAAAAUAAUACCCCAAACUCUCCUCAAGACCCUCAUGCCAAAUAUCACUUCCAUUUCCUUCGAGCCAUUCCGUAUUCUCUCGAAUCUUAGAUCAAAGGUUUGGUUCAAAACCCUAGUUCUUCCAAAAUUCCCCAAAAUCACACCACACACUCCCCUCACUUCCCUCUUCUUAAAUCUGUAACUAGUUUCCCUCGAAUCUCACUAGGCCGUCUCAAAUUCCAAAUCUAGGGUUCUUAAGGUUCAAGUUUGUUUAGAAGUUUUCAGGUCGAUUGAUUUCUAUUUAAUGUUUUCUGUCUAUUUUUUACCAAAAUAGACAGAUAACAUUAAUUGAAAAUCAAUUUCGAUGGGGCAUUUUUGUAAAGCCAAAAAUCAGUAAGUUCUGUUCAUUGUCAUUCUUCUUCGUUUAAUUCUAUUUCUUCAUAAUUUUUAUUUCUAGGAUGAUUCUAUCUACAUAGCUUAUAAUGAUAAUUGAUUCAAUGAUUAUUUGUUUAGGAUUAGUAGUUGUAGUGAUUCUUUUCUCUCCCUUCUUUAAGUGUUUCAUCUUGGUUUAAGUGUUGUUAAAUGUUGGCUUGAAUUUACUUAGUCUAUUUUUUCACUUGUUUAAGCUUAGUUCUCAGUGUUUAAGCUUGUUAUGUCAAUUUUCUGAUUGGCUUGAUCUUGAAUGAUUUGUGUAAGUAAUUGAGCUUAGAUAGGAUUAGCACUUUAGUAAACAUUGUUCUACAUUGGUGAUUAAUGGGUUAGGAUACUUAAUGCAGCUUUAGGAGUUUGAUCAAACUUAGUUGAAUUUGUAAAUUCAUGUUAGUGUUUAAACCUAAUUGCUAACUUAGGUAAAGAGAUUGGGCCAAUUUGGGUAAAUUUUAGCCUAGAUAAAGGGUAGUUUGGACAUUUAGGAUUAUGUAACACAUGGUAGUUGAAACUAGAAUCUUCUAGGGCCUCUCAAAGUAUGACUUUAAUGUAAUUUUAGUAAUUGUAGUGUAUUAACUUGUGACGCAAGUCGAAAAAUAAGGGACUAAAUGAAAAUAAAUAGGGACUAAAAAGGAAAACAGAAAAUUUAAGUUCAGGUUGAAUUCCUGCCUAAAACAGUUUCAUCUUACCAUAAUUAGUAGUAACCUCAGUGAUUCAAUGAUAAAACGAUUAGUCUAUUUGUAUUACUAUGUCACUAUCCAAAUUCUAUACCCGGUCGUGAUGGCGCCUCUCGUGAAGACAAGGCCAACCAACAACUCAAAAUCCUUUUUGAAACAACUAUAAAACAUAAAUGAAUGGAAAUACUAAUUUAUGGCAUUUAACUAUGAAAUUUCAUUCUAACACAAUCCGACCGGGGUGUCACAAGUCACGAGCAACUAAUGAGUAGGGACACUACUACUGGACCAACAAUGUAUAUAUAUACAAGAUAAAACCGGAAUGCAAAGAUGGAGUGUGGUGCCGCGAACGCUAGCGAUCACCGUGCUCAACUAUCCCAAUAAGUCCUUCGGUCCUGCUGAUAACCCGCUACCGGGUGGACAAUACCUGCAACUGCAGGCAAGGUGCUGGGAGUAAAGUGAGUACUUCCAACUCAGUGGUAAUAAGAGAGAAUAAUAUCUGAGCGAUAAGAAAACACGUAUGAGCACCCCAAAUUGCUACAAAAGACAGAACAACCCCUUUUGAGAAAACCGAAAUACUGUGAGAAUCCCUUUAGAAAAUCCCAAGUUGACUUCAAAAAAUCUCUUUUGAAAAUAUAUUUUUCAACAAUUGCAAAGGUAAUUUCAACAAGCAAGGAAUAUUCUGAAACCUUCCCCCCGAGAUCAAUAUCACUCACAAUAUCCAACAUCGGCCUCUCGGGCUCAGCACUCCUUAACACAUAACACCGGGUAUCUAGUCAACAAGGCAAGUAACAGUAUGUAUGCCAAUGAUAUAUGAGUGCUAAAUGUCNNNNNNNNNNNNNNNNNNNNNNNNNNNNNNNNNNNNNNNNNNNNNNNNNNNNNNNNNNNNNNNGCCAAUGAUAUAUGAGUGCUAAAUGUCGUGCCACGUAGUACAAACAGGAGUAAAUGCAUGAAUGCAAUGCAAUGCACAUGAAUACGAUGCGGCGUGCAGCUCGAGCCAACCAUGCAUAUGAUUUAACGUCGACGGCGCUCACUGUCGGGGUUCAGACUCCGUAGGGGCUCCUUCAGCGCAAGCGCAAUAUCAUACAUGUCAAUAGUUACCACUGUUUCCAUAACAAUACACGGUGCCAAUAGUUACCACCGUUUCCAUUUCAUUACACGGUGUCAAUAGUUACCACCGUUCCAAGAAAUAAUAUGUAGUCCAGAAAAUAGUGAGAUAAUGGUCGUCAGCCCGAAAUAUCAUUUAAGAAUCAUUUAUGUUUUCAAAACAUACAAUUUUAGCCGAGUUUUCAAAGAUAGUGUUAAAAACCCUGGACUGAAUUCAAAUAGUAUGCAAAUCAUGCUAACUCUUAUAUAUCAAUCCCUAAAGGAUUCUACAAGUCGGCACAAGGCUCCAAACAUGGCAUCAAGCCCAGAUAACAUCAAUAUACGGUGCAAAGCAAUCUCCAAUAUAGUAUAUUUCAUCCCUUGGAUUGAACCGAGUCACAAUUUCCCACAUAUAUGACCCCUCACUAGCCAUGGAGUGUGUGUCUCGCCUCAUAUAAACCAAUAUAGUAUAAUUCAUCCCGCGGAUUGAACCGAGUCACAAUUUCCACAUAUAUGACGCCGCACUACCAUGGAGUGCGUGUCUCGCCUCAUAUAGCGUCACAAUAUGAUAUACGGGGUUUCAAAUAAUUGGCAAUAAGCCUCAAGUAUGGCAAUGAGCCCAAGUCAUAAUGAUAACGACAAAACAUUUACAAUUUAGCGGUAAAAUCAACAACCAGGACGGACCAAGUCACAAUCCCCAACGGUGCUCUACCCCACGCUCAGGUCCAGCGUGCAAGUCACCACAAUACAGCACUAGAAUGUGCAAAUCCGGGGAUUCAAACCCUCAGGAUAUCAUUCUCAAAUAUUACUCAUCUCGAACCAGCAGAAUCUCAAGCUCGUGACGCCUUUGCCCCUCAAAUCGGCCUCCACGCGCGUCGAAUUUAGCCAAAAAUAGAGCGAAUACAUCACAAUAUGCAAAUGGGACAAUGCCCGAUCGAAAACAAUCGAAUUAUAGCAAGAACCUCGAAACUAGCAAAACUCGAGCCACGGUCCCGCUUCUCGAAAAAUUACGAAACUUGUAUUUCCGGAAUCCUCGUCUCCCCACGAGUUCGUACAUACCAAGAACUCCCAAAUUUGAGAUCAAAUGACCUACCAAAUCCCAAUUAAAAAUGUCAAAAACUCAAGCCCUAGUUUCUUCAAUUUCAUACCCAAAUUCAGAGAACUAAUGCAUGAUUCUUCAAUAAUAUCAUAUAUUAAGCUCAUAAAACUUACCUCAAGUCGAAACCUAGGUGAAGUCCUCUUAUUCCCUCGUCCAAUACCUCCAAAAUCGCUCAACAACAGAGGAAAAAUGACUUAAUCUCGCGGAGGAAGUGUUUUUAAACAUUCUGCUCCAGGUCCAAAAUCCUUCAUCGCGUUCGCGACUUCUCCCACGCGAAUGCGAAGACAAAAAUAUUUUAACAAUCUAAAUGCUCUAUAUAUAUACAAGAUAAAAUCGGAAUGCAAAGAUAGUGUACGGUGCCGCGAACACUGGCGAUCUGCGAACGGAAGACAAAAAUAUUUUAACAGGUCCAAAUGCUCUACGCGAACACGACAUUUCUCCUGCGAACGCGACGCAACAUCCCUUUUCUACGCGAACGGGAUAGCCUUCACGCGAACGCGAUGCACAACAUCCCAGGACUACGCGAACGCGGUAGCCUUCAUGCGAAUGCGAUGCACAAGAAUUCCAGGCCCUCAAAUUACUCUACGCGAUCGUGUUACUCCUCAUGCGAACGCGAUGCUUUGUGGUCUGCAACAUAUGACAGCAAAAAUCUGUUCUCUCCCAAGGCCAAAACUAGUCUGUUUGAACACUCGAAACAUCAUACAAACUCGUUCCAAUCAUAAAAACACGUCCUUCAACACAAAUCAUCAAAUCACAACGGAUUCAAGCUUAAAUUUUUCUUAAAACUUCGGAAACUCAUAUUUGAUCAAAAACCCGACCAAACGACAUCCGAAUGAUCUGAAAAUUUGCAGACAUAUCCAAAAUCACCUAACGAAGCUACUGCAACUCUCAAAAUUCUAUUCCGACUCUCGGAUCAAAAUCUCACAUAUCAACCGGAAUCCGGCUAAAUUCAAACUUCGUCAAUUCAAGCCUAAUUCUACACCGGACCUCCAAAUUCAAUUCCGAUCGCUCUCCUAAGUCACAAUUCAUCUCCCGAAGCUAACUGAAUCAUCGAAAAUCGCAUCCGAGUCUUCUAACUCACAAGUCAACUUCCGGUUGACUUUUCCAAAACAAGCUUGCUUCAAAGAGGUCAUGUGCCUUAUUUUCAACCAAAACUAAUUCAAUUACACCCGAUCGACUCUAACACCGAUAUUAAAACAUGAAGCAACACAAUAAGGGGGAAACAGAGUAGUAACAUAUAGGACGACGGGUCAAGUCGUCACAUACUAAAGUAAUUGUUUCAAAUUUGUUAUUCACCUUAGUAGUGAGAAUUUAUCAAAAGGCAAGAAAGUAAAAUAAUUGGAAUACUGACCUUAAAAGUUCAAACGAGCACGUCUAGUUAGCUUAAGUAAUUGUAUAUUGCUUUUCCCAAUUAUAAUUUGUUAAAGACGUUUGGAUCCGUUUUUGUGGUAUUAGUAAGCAUUCAGCCUAAUUCGAUUUGUUAAGCAAUCAGUCCGCCCAGCUGACUUUGGUCUUUGAUCGACUUGUGAAUGCUUUCCUCUAUGCCUAUUUGGAUGGUAAUUCUUCUACGGGGGCUAUGUUCAAGCCCAGGCUGGUUGAGGAUUCAAAUUUGUAUGAACUCAUAGACCCAAAUAUAAUAAGUUUUUAAACAAUAUUAAGUAAUUAGGAUUGUUUCUUUAUUUUUAGCGACAAAAAAUAUAAAAAAUUAUAGUUGCUUUAGGUUUGGCCUUUAAUUAAUAAAAUGAGACGAGCCUCGCAAAAUAAAAUGCAUAAAUUACGGGGCCCUCAAUAAAUGGUUAUAUCAAAAUACUUAGAGUCCAGGAUGGACCGUUUAACAAAUUUCACGGUCCUCCUCAAAGAUACUAACGUGUUAGUCACUUUAGGCGCGCUUUUAAUAUUUUAUCUUCUUAAACUUAGGUGUGCAUUUCAUGUGACCCAAAUCAAAUCCCAAAACGUUGAAUAAAAUGUGUUCAGGAUUGCGGGUGCAUUUCAUGUGGCGCAGUCCAAAGACGCAUUUUAAACGACGUUCAACUUUCUUUAAAAGUCAAAUAAAAAGCGAUUAAAAUGUAAAUCGGCACAUAGGUUCAUCAUGGAAUAAAAUUAGAUAAAUAAGCUAAACAUGAUAGUUGAGCGACCGUGCUAGAACCACGAAACCCGGGAAUGCCUAACACCUUCUCCCGGGUUAACAGAAUUCCUUACUCGGAUUUCUUAUUCGCAGACUGUUGACAGAGUCAUAUUUUCUUUGGUUCGGGAUUCAACCGGUGACUUGGGACACCAUUAAUCUCCCAAGUGGCAACUCUGAAUUUUAAUAACAAAUCCCCUUCCGAAUGUUCUUUAAUUGGAAAAAUUCAUUUAUGCCCUUGCGGGGUGUAGUGAAAAAGGAAGUGUGACAACUAUUGAGAAGACUCAACAAAACCAAGAUUUUCCUUCUCUCGUUGCUGAAGCUUCCGCAAUUAUUGAAGAUGAUAUGGGUAUCCCCACUCCUUUAAUCCAAGUUGAUCCCACUGCUAUUGAUGUAGCUGCUUCAGUUCCUUUAUCUUCCCAGUGACAAGUUUGAGUUGUUUGAAUUCUUUUGUGUUUUUUUUUCUUUUUGAAAAAUUGUGGUUAAAACCCUUGGUCUCAUUUGAGGGUUUGUUUUGGAAAUUUAAGUCCUAGACCUUUUAUGGGGCAAUAUGUAUAAACAAUUUCCAGUUUAUGACUAAGUUCAUACUUAGUCUAAGCUCUUUAAUAUUAAG